CAGCCGCCACGGGAACACGAAGGGUGCAAGCGUUAAUCGGAAUUACUGGGCGUAAAGCGUGCGUAGGCGGUUUGUUAAGUCUGUUGUGAAAUCCCCGGGCUCAACCUGGGAAUGGCAAUGGAUACUGGCAAGCUAGAGUGUGUCAGAGGAUGGUGGAAUUCCCGGUGUAGCGGUGAAAUGCGUAGAGAUCGGGAGGAACAUCAGUGGCGAAGGCGGCCAUCUGGGACAACACUGACGCUGAGGCACGAAAGCGUUGGGAGCAAACAGGAUUAGAGACCCCGGUAGUCCCUGUCUCUUAUAC
This 301-nucleotide ribosomal RNA is filed under the name uncultured bacterium. Its description in RNAcentral is "partial 16S ribosomal RNA". It matches the Rfam family "Bacterial small subunit ribosomal RNA", at positions 509 to 807 of the family's 1533-position model. The record is from RNAcentral.